Armigeres subalbatus is the source of this 671-nucleotide long non-coding RNA. RefSeq lists it as uncharacterized. NCBI's taxonomy places the organism in Eukaryota, Metazoa, Arthropoda, Insecta, Diptera, Culicidae. The record is from RefSeq and is a predicted model, not a curated record. The transcript is spliced from 2 exons.
GCUCUUAAUAAAUAGUUCGUUCCUUAUUAAAUGCAUCUCUUUAAAGAUUUACAAAUUCAUUAAAAUUUUGAUAACUGAUAGUUUAAUACUCGGUUUAAUGUAUAAAUAAAAUGAUAAACCUAAAAAAAUAAACUAAUAUUUCCCAUUAAUGCUAAUUUUGGACAUUAAUGAAAUGUAAACCUACCAUUGUAUCCCCAUUUGAUUACAUAGUGUGACAGAUGAAAAUCAAUACAAACAAUAUGUUGGUGUCCGCACCGCACGUAAAGGAAAAUUUUCAUUUCCUUAGUUUUUAUUAGUUGGAAUAGUAUUUUUGUUAUUUCGUUUAAUUUAAAAGUAUUUUAAUCAGCCAUGGAAAGAUUCGGGAUAGUUUUCUUGCCGUUCCAUGCAGUGGGAAAUGACCAGAAGCAGAAAAUAUUCUGGGAGUGCAUUCGGCUGUCAUUGGGCAGUCGCAGCAGGGACCUUGCGGCCAAAGCUCCUUCAAAAUCGGGAACAUUGAGUACCGUUGCAUAUUUUGCAACAUGAGGUUCCAGAGAAAUCGGUGUCCUAAAUCCUAAAGGAGCCAGAGGACGGAUGUUAAUGUUUAUGUUUCGAUCAUUUAUGACUAUCCACAAUAUAUGUUCGUUAUUUGUACGUUUUAUUACAACUGCAAUAAAUAUUUCCUAAGAAACAUA